AAAGUCGUAACAAGGUAACCGUAGGUGAACCUGCGGUUGGAUCAUUACAGAAACUGCACGUGAUUUGGGCGCUGGGGCGGGGGUGCUCUGAGCGCUGUUGCCCUCCUCCCAUCUCACGUUUCAGGCGUCGGACCACGUCCUCUGGGCGUGGGUAAGGUUCCUGACAUAUUUGUGAACCGUGCUGUCUCUGGCGGCGGGGCUUGUCCAAGGCUCCGGCAGGUUGAAAACUGCCGGCGUCGGGGUUAGCCCGUCAGCUUUCUGGCCAUACGGGUUGCUUCACGCCUGUGGGCGUGGGCGGACCCGCUGGACAGAAGCCGUGGACAAACCGCCAACCACUUGCAUAUCAACCUUUUGCGUCGAGCACUUUGUCUGACCUCUGUUUGUCUUGCGUGACAAUCGAGCAAACAACUUUUGGCAACGGAUCUCUUGGCUCUC
RNAcentral lists this unclassified non-coding RNA (435 nucleotides) under Chytridiomycota sp. RNAcentral describes it as "partial contains small subunit ribosomal RNA, internal transcribed spacer 1, and 5.8S ribosomal RNA". The stretch from base 1 to 47 matches the Rfam family "Eukaryotic small subunit ribosomal RNA", at positions 1785 to 1831 of the family's 1831-position model. The record is from RNAcentral. Lineage: Eukaryota; Fungi; Chytridiomycota.